Molecule: RNA transcript, 3235 nt
Organism: Gopherus flavomarginatus (Mexican gopher tortoise)
Lineage: Eukaryota; Metazoa; Chordata; Testudines; Testudinidae
Gene: MSANTD2
Gene name: Myb/SANT DNA binding domain containing 2
Exons: 7
Source: RefSeq, a predicted model, not a curated record
GCUCGGCUCCGCAGCUCCAAUAUGGCGGCGCCCUGUGGCUCCUCGCAGCUCCCGGCCGCCGAGUCGCCGCUGAAGAUCCCCAAGAUGGAGGUCCUGUCGCCGGGCUCGCCGGGGGCGCUCAGCGACGGCAACCCCAGCCUCUCCGACCCCUCCACGCCCAGCGGCGCCUCCCCGCUGGGGCCGGGCGGGCCGGGCUCUGCCGCCGCCGCGGGGGCCGGGGCGGGGGGCCGCGGCGGGGCAUCGCCCUCCGUCUCCUUCUCGCCCGGCGGCGCCGCGGCGGCCGCCGCUUGCCGGGGCAUGUCGUGGACGCCGGCCGAGACCAACGCGCUGAUCGCGGUGUGGGGCAACGAGCGGCUGGUGGAGGCGCGGUACCAGCAGCUGGAGGGCGCCGGCACCGUCUUCGGCAGCAAGGCCCCCGGGCCCGCCAUGUACGAGCGCGUCUCCCGGGCCCUGGCCGAGCUGGGCUACGAGCGGACCCCGUCCCAGUGCCGCGAGCGCAUCAAGCAGCUUCCCAAGAGACAGAGUGAGUUAGUAAGGAAUGCAAAAUAUACCCUUCGCAGGUGUUACAGUCGAGUGAAAGAACAUGGUGUUGGGAAAAGGAAAAGCAGUUACACCUUUGAACAAUUGGAACAGGUGUUUGGUCAGGGAGGAUGGGACUCACAGCCCUGCCAGCCUGUACUCAUUAAUAGCAGCGGUUUGUACCAGGAGCUGGAAUCGGAUGGCAGCACUAUGGAGGAAUAUUCACAGGAGGAUUGGGGGAACCACAGUCAGGAUCUUCACUGCUACCAAGGAGGAGACCCAGAGUUGGAUGAAAUGCCUGCCACAAAGAGAACAUUAAAGAUAAAGCAGGAAUCUUCAGAAGACGCACAGAAGCAAGACGUCAUGCAGAACAUUGUGCAAAUCUUGGAAUCCGUCCAGUUAAAAUGGGAGCUGUUUCAGAGCUGGACAGAUUUCUCCAGGCUACAUCUUUCUAACAAACUAGCCAUUUUUGGCAUUGGUUAUAACACACGCUGGAAGGAGGAUAUUCGCUACCACUACGCUGAGAUCAGUUCCCAGGUGCCUCUUGGCAAACGGCUUAGGGAAUAUUUCAAUUCAGAGAAGCCAGAAGGCAGGAUCAUCAUGACACGAGUACAGAAAAUGAACUGGAAAAACGUUUACUAUAAAUUCCUAGAGAUUACUAUUAGCGAAGCAAGAUGCCUGGAGCUGCAUAUGGAAGUUGACUGGAUUCCUAUAGCUCACUCUAAACCAACGGGAGGAAAUGUUGUUCAGUAUUUAUUACCAGGGGGGAUUCCCAAAAGCCCUGGCCUGUAUGCCAUUGGUUAUGAAGAUUUCCAGGAGAAACCCCACUCGCCUCAUGCAGACCGCCGAGGCACAGAUCCUGGGAAGGAGACUCAGGGGGAGGUAGAUGUCCCUUCACCGCAGGCCUCUCUCAGGGUGGAGAUGGAGUCCGCCAGAAUUAUCUAUUGUUACCUUGGCAUUGCUGAGGUUAGAACUCUCCAGCAGUGCUUGUUUUUACAUUUUCAGGCCAACACCAAAACCUUCAGCAAAGAGUGGGUUGGAAUCAAUGGGUUUUUAUCUCAGAACUGCAUCGUAGAACCAGGGGUGUCGCCUAAAUCCAUCUACAUCAAAUUUGUGGAAGUGGAGAGGGAUUUUCUUUCUGCUGGCUCUUUGGUAGAGUGCCUGGAAAAAGCCAUUGGAUACCCAUUGAAGUUUAACAACUGAAUCUCGUCCUUCAUAAGGAUUAGGGCUCCUGCCUCCUUUCCAUGUUGCUAGCAGACGUUUAUGGAUCCUGUCUGUUCACAGUGGGGCAAGUAUGUAUACAUCGUCCGUGUGGAAAUCACGUAAACGUGCAUGUGGCCCACAUGCUGAGAAUCUCUUAGGAGUGGGCCUUUCCGCUGCACCUGACCGACAGAAGAAAAAAAAAAAACUUACCUUACUGCAGUGCAGGGUUGGUAUUGCAGCUGGCGGAAGAAUCUGCAAAGUGCCAGAUGCCACAGAGAUUCUCGUGUGGACCGCUACAAAAGUUCUUGAGGAAGCCACGUGGCUUGAUGCUGGCGGGUUUCAACAGGAAGAAACAUCCUUGAAGGAAAACGCAGAGGCUGGGCUGGAGCAUGGUUAUGGAAGGGCCCACAAGUUCCAUGUGGAAUGUGUACGACAUGAUUGUAGGGCUGCGUAUUUCUGAGUGCAAACUGGUCCUAGUCGUGGACCAGUUGUAGGCACUGGAAUUACAGCUAAAGCUUUAGAGACAUGGCCGAGAAACCAUGAGCAUGAGGGGUGGCGGAAGCUGAGCCUUCAGAUGGGGUCGAUGUGGAGCAGGGAAGGAGGAAGAAUGUGACAGUGAAGACUAGAAAUACUAGAGGGUCAUGCACAUCGCAGCUUGUGUUGGCUGAUCUCAUUGCACCUGCCAAGGGGCACAUGCACCCUUCCCUGGGUCCCACCUCCCAGCCCCCCUCUACUUUAGGGACUCCCAGUAACUCCCACUGCUCCCUCCCUCGCGCCUGGGGCUGUCUCCCCAUUUUCCCUUCCCCUGCCAUGGCAGAGUCUCUGUGCCCUCCAGUCUUCCCUGUUACAUGACAAGGUCCCCCAAUUUCCCCUUGCCAGGAGUUGUGUGUGCCCCUUGUUCCCGCUUGCUCCCAUAAGUCAUCCAUUCUCCUCCACCCCAUGCCAAUGACUGUGUGCACCCGUCCCCCCAUAGGAGGGUCCCUCAACUUCCCCUUCCCUCCCGCAUGCCAGGGCCAAAGCACGUGUCCCCCCUUCCCCACCCAACAUUAUUUGUCUCCUUUCUCUUUUGGAGAUCAGACACUCAGUGUGUCCAUGUAUUAUAACUCUUGGAAGGCUGAACAGAGCUGAGAUGGGCGGGAGGGGCGGAUUUUUAUGCUGGAGGGCAGUAAAGGGUGCCAUCAACCUCUCUUUGAUCUAUAGACAAUUGUGGAGCUGCUUGAUGCUCUGGCUCUGUUAGAUCCUGGGGCGCUGUGUGUACCCCAUUUCCCUCUUUCCUUUUUCAGAUUUCCUCCCGAAUCAAUAGGAGUCUGCCCGUUGAUGCCUAGUACGUUCCCUGAAAUUCUGGAAUUGAUGGGCUGCCAUGUUGAAAAGUGAUGGCAUGACCGACAGGCCACAAGUUGGGCGUAAGGCCUUGCAAGCUUGGCCAGCUAAGAGCAGAAGGGAAAAGUGGAACUACAAAGCCCUGCAAGAGCAAGUCUGACCUUGCCAGAAUAGAGGAGGACAGAGAGGUCCG